GACGAACGCUGGCGGCGUGCCUAAUACAUGCAAGUUGAGCGAUGAAGCUUGGUGCUUGCCCCAAUUUGAAGAGCAGCGAACGGGUGAGUAACGCGUGGGGAAUCUGCCUUUGAGCGGGGGACAACAUUUGGAAACGAAUGCUAAUACCGCAUAACAACUUUAAACAUAAGUUUUAAGUUUGAAAGAUGCAAUUGCAUCACUCAAAGAUGAUCCCGCGUUGUAUUAGCUAGUUGGUGAGGUAAAGGCUCACCAAGGCGAUGAUACAUAGCCGACCUGAGAGGGUGAUCGGCCACAUUGGGACUGAGACACGGCCCAAACUCCUACGGGAGGCAGCAGUAGGGAAUCUUCGGCAAUGGACGAAAGUCUGGCCGAGCAACGCCGCGUGAGUGAAGAAGGUUGUCGGAUCGUAAAACUCUGUUGGUAGAGAAGAACGUUGGUGAGAGUGGAAAGCUCAUCAAGUGACGGUAACUACCCAGAAAGGGACGGCUAACUACGUG
This 497-nucleotide ribosomal RNA is filed under the name uncultured bacterium. RNAcentral describes it as "partial 16S ribosomal RNA". It matches the Rfam family "Bacterial small subunit ribosomal RNA", at positions 28 to 507 of the family's 1533-position model. The record is from RNAcentral.